AACGUAGGAGACAAACGUUAUCCGGAGUUACUGGGCGUAAAGGGCGUGUAGGCGGUUUGUUAAGUCUGGCGUGAAAGCUCUCGGCUAAACCGGGAGAGGUCGUUGGAUACUGGCAAACUAGAGGACGGUAGAGGCGUGUGGAAUUCCGGGUGUAGUGGUGAAAUGCGUAGAGAUCCGGAGGAACACCAGUGGCGAAGGCGACACGCUGGGCCGUACCUGACACUGAUGCGCGACAGCAUGGGGAGCAAACAGG
This 253-nucleotide ribosomal RNA is filed under the name uncultured bacterium. RNAcentral describes it as "partial 16S ribosomal RNA". It matches the Rfam family "Bacterial small subunit ribosomal RNA", at positions 524 to 776 of the family's 1533-position model. The record is from RNAcentral.